CAGCAGCCACGGGAAUACGUAGGUGGCAAGCGUUGUCCGGAAUUAUUGGGCGUAAAGGGCUCGCAGGCGGUUUCUUAAGUCUGAUGUGAAAGCCCCCGGCUCAACCGGGGAGGGUCAUUGGAAACUGGGAAACUUGAGUGCAGAAGAGGAGAAUGGAAUUCCACGUGUAGCGGUGAAUGCGUAGAGAUGUGGAGGAACACCAGUGGCGAAGGCGACUCUCUGGUCUGUAACUGACGCUGAGGAGCGAAAGCGUGGGGAGCGAACAGGAUUAGAGACCCCUGUAGUCCCUGUCUCUUAUACA
RNAcentral lists this ribosomal RNA (301 nucleotides) under uncultured bacterium. RNAcentral describes it as "partial 16S ribosomal RNA". It matches the Rfam family "Bacterial small subunit ribosomal RNA", at positions 509 to 808 of the family's 1533-position model. The record is from RNAcentral.